CCGGCGAAUCGCCUGAAUGUCAUGCAGUUCGAGCGGACAGAAGGGAGCUUGCUCCCGGAUGUUAGCGGCGGACGGGUGAGUAACACGUGGGUAACCUGCCUGUAAGACUGGGAUAACUCCGGGAAACCGGAGCUAAUACCGGAUAGUUCCUUGAACCGCAUGGUUCAAGGAUGAAAGACGGUUUCGGCUGUCACUUACAGAUGGACCCGCGGCGCAUUAGCUAGUUGGUGAGGUAACGGCUCACCAAGGCGACGAUGCGUAGCCGACCUGAGAGGGUGAUCGGCCACACUGGGACUGAGACACGGCCCAGACUCCUACGGGAGGCAGCAGUAGGGAAUCUUCCGCAAUGGACGAAAGUCUGACGGAGCAACGCCGCGUGAGUGAUGAAGGUUUUCGGAUCGUAAAGCUCUGUUGUUAGGGAAGAACAAGUGCAAGAGUAACUGCUUGCACCUUGACGGUACCUAACCAGAAAGCCACGGCUAACUACGUGCCAGCAGCCGCGGUAAUACGUAGGUGGCAAGCGUUGUCCGGAAUUAUUGGGCGUAAAGGGCUCGCAGGCGGUUUCUUAAGUCUGAUGUGAAAGCCCCCGGCUCAACCGGGGAGGGUCAUUGGAAACUGGGAAACUUGAGUGCAGAAGAGGAGAGUGGAAUUCCACGUGUAGCGGUGAAAUGCGUAGAGAUGUGGAGGAACACCAGUGGCGAAGGCGACUCUCUGGUCUGUAACUGACGCUGAGGAGCGAAAGCGUGGGGAGCGAACAGGAUUAGAUACCCUGGUAGUCCACGCCGUAAACGAUGAGUGCUAAGUGUUAGGGGGUUUCCGCCCCUUAGUGCUGCAGCUAACGCAUUAAGCACUCCGCCCGGGGAGUACGGUCGCAAGACUGAAACUCAAAGGAAUUGACGGGGGCCCGCACAAGCGGUGGAGCAUGUGGUUUAAUUCGAAGCAACGCGAAGAACCUUACCAGGUCUUGACAUCCUCUGACAACCCUAGAGAUAGGGCUUUCCCUUCGGGGACAGAGUGACAGGUGGUGCAUGGUUGUCGUCAGCUCGUGUCGUGAGAUGUUGGGUUAAAUCCCGCAACGAGAGCA
This 1084-nucleotide ribosomal RNA is filed under the name Bacillus altitudinis. RNAcentral's name for it is "bacterial SSU rRNA". It matches the Rfam family "Bacterial small subunit ribosomal RNA", at positions 36 to 1100 of the family's 1533-position model. The record is from RNAcentral. Lineage: Bacteria; Bacillati; Bacillota; Bacilli; Caryophanales; Bacillaceae.